UUUUGUAUAAUGGGUCAGCGACUUAUAUUCUGUAGCAAGGUUAACCGAAUAGGGGAGCCGAAGGGAAACCGAGUCUUAACUGGGCGUUAAGUUGCAGGGUAUAGACCCGAAACCCGGUGAUCUAGCCAUGGGCAGGUUGAAGGUUGGGUAACACUAACUGGAGGACCGAACCGACUAAUGUUGAAAAAUUAGCGGAUGACUUGUGGCUGGGGGUGAAAGGCCAAUCAAACCGGGAGAUAGCUGGUUCUCCCCGAAAGCUAUUUAGGUAGCGCCUCGUGAAUUCAUCUCCGGGGGUAGAGCACUGUUUCGGCAAGGGGGUCAUCCCGACUUACCAACCCGAUGCAAACUGCGAAUACCGGAGAAUGUUAUCACGGGAGACACACGGCGGGUGCUAACGUCCGUCGUGAAGAGGGAAACAACCCAGACCGCCAGCUAAGGUCCCAAAGUCAUGGUUAAGUGGGAAACGAUGUGGGAAGGCCCAGACAGCCAGGAUGUUGGCUUAGAAGCAGCCAUCAUUUAAAGAAAGCGUAAUAGCUCACUGGUCGAGUCGGCCUGCGCGGAAGAUGUAACGGGGCUAAACCAUGCACCGAAGCUGCGGCAGCGACGCUGAUGCGUUGUUGGGUAGGGGAGCGUUCUGUAAGCCUGCGAAGGUGUGCUGUGAGGCAUGCUGGAGGUAUCAGAAGUGCGAAUGCUGACAUAAGUAACGAUAAAGCGGGUGAAAAGCCCGCUCGCCGGAAGACCAAGGGUUCCUGUCCAACGUUAA
This 763-nucleotide ribosomal RNA is filed under the name Escherichia coli. RNAcentral describes it as "partial 23S ribosomal RNA". It matches the Rfam family "Bacterial large subunit ribosomal RNA", at positions 606 to 1368 of the family's 2925-position model. Lineage: Bacteria; Pseudomonadati; Pseudomonadota; Gammaproteobacteria; Enterobacterales; Enterobacteriaceae. The record is from RNAcentral.